Molecule: ribosomal RNA, 495 nt
Filed under: uncultured bacterium
Lineage: Bacteria
Description: partial 16S ribosomal RNA
Rfam family: Bacterial small subunit ribosomal RNA
Source: RNAcentral
GAUGAACGCUGGCGGCGUGCCUAAUACAUGCAAGUCGAGCGAACGGACGAGAAGCUUGCUUCUCUGAUGUUAGCGGCGGACGGGUGAGUAACACGUGGAUAACCUACCUAUAAGACUGGGAUAACUUCGGGAAACCGGAGCUAAUACCGGAUGAUAUUUUGAACCGCAUGGUUCAAAAGUGAAAGACGGUCUUGCUGUCACUUAUAGAUGGAUCCGCGCUGCAUUAGCUAGUUGGUAAGGUAACGGCUUACCAAGGCAACGAUGCAUAGCCGACCUGAGAGGGUGAUCGGCCACACUGGAACUGAGACACGGUCCAGACUCCUACGGGAGGCAGCAGUAGGGAAUCUUCCGCAAUGGGCGAAAGCCUGACGGAGCAACGCCGCGUGAGUGAUGAAGGUCUUCGGAUCGUAAAACCCUGUUAUUAGGGAAGAACAUAUGUGUAAGUAACUGUGCACAUCUUGACGGUACCUAAUCAGAAAGCCACGGCUAACUACG